GGUGCGGCCAACCGAACAUAGGGCUGUCUCUUCACUCUCCCACCCGUCAUUGAACAUGUCGUGGUCGGGAUGCUUCCGAUCGGUUGCCUGUGCGGUUCUACCCUCUUGUGGGUAGCGAACUCGUCCCUUGAUGGAUAUAUGCUUGCCCUUGUGACAUUUUUGUGUCGUUUGGGCAGCCGAAAUGUUGGCGAUAUCCUUGUGUUGGCGCGUGGUUGAAUGAUGUGUUGCUAUCACUUGGAUUUUUGCCGGCUCUCACGGAUGCGGUGCCUAGCGCUAGCUCUGCGGGACUUUGCCCCGCAGACUUCGGGAGGUCCCUUGUACGAAUCAUUGCUCUUAUACGCCGUCUUGUCGUGCCGCUACCGUGGCACGCAGAUCGUGUUCUUUCGUGCAGUCGUUGACAGCACGAAAGCGAACAUUAGUGUCCGGAGCGUGGUCUUGUGCACGUGGAAUGCCUCUCCGAUCGUAUGAGUAGCGAUU
This 477-nucleotide unclassified non-coding RNA is filed under the name Carex angustisquama. RNAcentral describes it as "partial miscellaneous RNA". Lineage: Eukaryota; Viridiplantae; Streptophyta; Magnoliopsida; Poales; Cyperaceae. The record is from RNAcentral.